AUAGGACUAUUGGACAUUCCCUGUGGGUUUCUCUGUGCAGCCCUUGCUGUCCUGGAACUCGAUCUGUGUAGACCAGGUUGUCCUGGAAUUCAGAGACCUGCCUUUCUCUGCCUUCCAAGUGCUGGGAUUAAAGAUGAAUACAGCACACAUGGCCCUUCCACCCGGAGUUACAUCGAUGAAUGCCUUUGGACUUGAGAAGCCCACCUCCCACAGUUGGCACACUGCUGAUCAUUUUGAUAAUACCUACUCACUGUUUCCCCCCUCCAGCUUUCCCCAAACCACUCCCAACAUGUCUCCAUCUCAAUGUCAUGCCCCCAAUUUUUUUCCUUUUAAAUUACCAACUGAGUCUAAUUAGCAUGCCUCUAUGUCCAUGCACUAGAGCAUGAACCUACCAGAGGCCGCAGUCCAAAGAAAAUGACCCUCCGUCCCUCAGCAGCAACCAUCUGCUAAUGGUCCUCAGCUAGGGGCGGAGCCUGGUGAGCCCCUCCCCUGUUUAUGCUGGACUUUUCCUGGCUUGAUCUUGUGCAGGUAACCAUAGCUGGUGUGAGUUAAUGAGUGUGGUAACUGUGUGAUGCGUAUAAGACAGUAUCUCAUGGCAUUCUACCCUAUUCCCCAGCAAUUAUGUUCUUUCUGAUCCCUCUUGCAGGACUUUUAGUGGUAGAAGUGGGAUUUAAUGUAGACGUUCCAUUUAUGAGCAAGAAGUCAGUCACAUAUUCUCAGCAUUUUGAACUGUUGUAAAUCUGUGUGAACUGCUGUAUACUGCAAAAGGAAGACCCUCAGACUGAGGUUGAGAGUACUAAUUUAUGUGAAUAAAUACAAUUUUUUAGAAG
Molecule: long non-coding RNA, 830 nt
Filed under: Mus musculus (house mouse)
Lineage: Eukaryota; Metazoa; Chordata; Mammalia; Rodentia; Muridae
Description: predicted gene 13710 (Gm13710)
Source: RNAcentral